AUGCUUCUCCUAAAGACUAAGCCAUGCAUGCUCUGAAUAUGAGGAAGCAAUUCUCUCUGAAUCUGCGAACGGCUCCGCAAACCAGUUGUAAACCAUAGCAGUGUUCCGCCCGGCUUCAGCAAUGGAGUCGGGCAUUAUAUGGAUAACCGUGGUAAUUCUGAGGCUAAUACAUGACACACUAACCCGUCGGGCUGGGGGCAACCUCGGCUUGGUGGGGGACGUGCGAUAAACACCGGCUACAAUUAAAAAAUACCGACGAAAAGGACG
This 267-nucleotide ribosomal RNA is filed under the name uncultured Stemonitis sp. RNAcentral's name for it is "partial 18S ribosomal RNA". It matches the Rfam family "Eukaryotic small subunit ribosomal RNA", at positions 28 to 258 of the family's 1831-position model. Lineage: Eukaryota; Evosea; Eumycetozoa; Stemonitida. The record is from RNAcentral.